AUUAAAGUUUUAUUUUGGCUUAUAGGUUUAUUAUUAGUUUAAUUUAUAUGUAAAUUUUUGUGGGAAAAGUUAAUUAUUUUAAUAGUAGUUAAUUUUUUAUUAGUCGCAGUAAUUAAUAUUAUUAAUUAAGGAAACUUAGAAAUAGUGAUAUUAAAGAGUAUUGGCUAAAUUUGUGCCAGCAGCCGCGGUUAUACGAAUAAUGCGAAUAAAUCUUGUUCAGUUAAAGUUAAAUUGAUUUGAUAAUAAAUUAAAAAUAAAUUUGUUAGGUGAAAUUUUAAAUUUAUACAUAUUUUAUUGAAAAAAAUUGAAGCUUGAAAAUUUUAUUAAUAAACUAGGAUUAGAUACCCUAUUAUUUAAAAUGUAUAAAAAAAAGACUGAGGUAGUAGUAGUUAUGUUCUUGAAACUUAAAAAAUUUGGCGGUAUUUUAGUCUAUUCAGAGGAACCUGUUUUGUAAUCGAUAAUCCACGAUGGACCUUACUUAAGUUUGUAUUCAGUUUAUAUACCGUCGUUAUUAGAAUAUUUUAUAAGAAAGUUAAUUUUCAAGAUUUUUAAAAAGAAAAUAUAUCAGAUCAAGGUGUAGCUUAUAUUUAAGUAUAAAUGGGUUACAAUAAAAUUAUUUAAACGAAUAUAAAUGUGAAAUAUUUAUUGAAGGUGGAUUUGAUAGUAAAAUUAUAAAGAUUAAUAAUUUGAUUUUAGCUCUAAAAUAUGCACACAUCGCCCGUCACUCUUACUAUUAAGGUAAGAUAAGUCGUAACAUAGUAGAUGUACUGGAAAGUGUACCUAGAAUGCA
This 790-nucleotide non-coding RNA is filed under the name Oxysarcodexia varia. Lineage: Eukaryota; Metazoa; Arthropoda; Insecta; Diptera; Sarcophagidae. The record is from RNAcentral.